This 503-nucleotide ribosomal RNA is filed under the name uncultured bacterium. RNAcentral's name for it is "bacterial SSU rRNA". It matches the Rfam family "Bacterial small subunit ribosomal RNA", at positions 1 to 507 of the family's 1533-position model. The record is from RNAcentral.
GUCACUGACGAGUUUGAUCAUGGCUCAGAUUGAACGCUGGCGGCAGGCUUAACACAUGCAAGUCGAGCGGAGACUUCGGUCUUAGCGGCGAAUGGGUGAGUAAUACCUAGGAAUCUCGCCUAUUAGGUGGGGGAUAACGAUACGAAAGGUUCGCUAAUACCGCAUACGUCCUACGAGAGAAAGGGGGGGGAUCUUCGGACCUCUCGCUAAUAGAUGAGCCUAGGCCGGAUUAGCUAGUUGGUAGGGUAAAGGCCUACCAAGGCGACGAUCUGUAGCUGGUCUGAGAGGAUGGCCAGCCACACUGGAACUGAGACACGGUCCAGACUCCUACGGGAGGCAGCAGUGGGGAAUAUUGGACAAUGGGGGCAACCCUGAUCCAGCCAUGCCGCGUGUGUGAAGAAGGCCUUCGGGUUGUAAAGCACUUUAAGCGAGGAGGAAGGUUUUUAGUUUAAUACACUAAAGAAUUGACGUUACUCGCAGAAUAAGCACCGGCUAACUCUGUG